RNAcentral lists this ribosomal RNA (253 nucleotides) under uncultured bacterium. RNAcentral describes it as "partial 16S ribosomal RNA". It matches the Rfam family "Bacterial small subunit ribosomal RNA", at positions 524 to 776 of the family's 1533-position model. The record is from RNAcentral.
UACGGAGGGUGCAAGCGUUAUCCGGAUUCACUGGGUUUAAAGGGUGCGUAGGUGGGUUUGUAAGUCAGUGGUGAAAUCUCCGGGCUUAACCUGGAAACUGCCAUUGAUAUUAUAGAUCUUGAAUUUUCUGGAGGUAAGCGGAAUAUGUCAUGUAGCGGUGAAAUGCUUAGAUAUGACAUAGAACACCAAUUGCGAAGGCAGCUUACUACAGGAACAUUGACACUGAGGCACGAAAGCGUGGGGAUCAAACAGG